CAGCACCUCAAGUGGUCAGGAUGAUUAUUGGGCCUAAAGCAUCCGUAGCCGGCGCUGUAAGUUUUCGGUUAAAUCUGUACGCUCAACGUACAGGCUGCCGGGAAUACUGCAAAGCUAGGGAGUGGGAGAGGUAGACGGUACUCGGUAGGAAGGGGUAAAAUCCUUUGAUCUAUUGAUGACCACCUGUGGCGAAGGCGGUCUACCAGAACACGUCCGACGGUGAGUGAUGAAAGCUGGGGGAGCAAACCGGAUUAGAUACCCGAGUAGUCC
RNAcentral lists this ribosomal RNA (270 nucleotides) under uncultured archaeon. RNAcentral describes it as "partial 16S ribosomal RNA". It matches the Rfam family "Archaeal small subunit ribosomal RNA", at positions 477 to 747 of the family's 1478-position model. The record is from RNAcentral.